UAGCCAUUUCCUUUUCACCCUAGCCACCCUCCCUCUUCCUCUCCUCUUUUCUCUUCAAUUUUUCUUUUAUUUUCCCUUGUGUGCCGCCGUCCAAACCACCAAGAGCCACCAUUCCUUUUUUCUUUCUUUUGCGAUGAGUUCUUGCACCAUUCUCAUCUCUUUCUUGCUACCAUUUUUCCAGCCUUAAACCUAAAAUCUUAACACCCAAGAACAAUCUCCAUUGUUGCCUAAGAAACUUCAUUGCUGUCCAUUCCUUCUAGUAAGUAUCGAGAACGUGUUGACGAUCAUGGGAAGGAAAAGGUUGAGGAUUAGUCCCUGUAUUCAAGUCGUUAUUGCAAACUAGCCCGAUUACAUAUUGUGAUAGGGAGAUCGGAUCAAACUUGAAGAAUCACACUAUCUCGAGGACUCUUUUAGUAGUUUUUGUAAACAUCCUAGCUUAUAUGGCAUGUAGUAGGGCUAAUUAAUUUGUUGUAAUGUUAAAGUUAUGUAUUAGUUGGUAUGCUCUUUAUAUGAUAAAUUUUAGAACCUCUUAUGGUAUGCAAUGUUAAAUUCUAAGUUGUGCUAAA
Molecule: long non-coding RNA, 566 nt
Organism: Gossypium arboreum
Lineage: Eukaryota; Viridiplantae; Streptophyta; Magnoliopsida; Malvales; Malvaceae
Exons: 3
Source: RefSeq, a predicted model, not a curated record